Molecule: non-coding RNA, 318 nt
Organism: Vicia faba (fava bean)
Lineage: Eukaryota; Viridiplantae; Streptophyta; Magnoliopsida; Fabales; Fabaceae
Source: the annotation of a GenBank genome assembly
AUGGAUUUUGAAGGUGGCAGGACACCAAAGAAGGAUAUGGAAGGAGAAGGAUGUGUGACGGGUUCGAAGAUAAAGGGUGCUGGAAAUCAAAGUAGUAAAGAUAUAAUUUUCAGAGAUGAUAGGAUUGAUCUUAAGAAUUUGGAUGCUCAAUUGGAAAAGCACUUAAGCAAGGUUUGGUCGAGAAAUACUAAUGAGUCUAAAACGCCUAAAGAAGAAUGCACAUAUGAUACUCAGGAUGUUGCAGAUAAAAUCAGUGGAAAGAUCUUAAGCAAUCUGGUGGUGAGUUUCAAAUGGUUUUGUAGAAAGUGUGACCACUGA